CCACUGAGAUCUGCUGCCGUUGACGUUGCCGGAGUUCUGGUCGCCGCUGCCGUUCGAGGUGGCUGCCGGAGCUGCCGCUAAACCAAUUCAGCGACCGCCGCUGUUUCAUUUUCUUAGUUCGGGUUGUGUUUUGAGCAUUGCAUGUUGCUUUUAAGUUGCUGUGAGUGCUGCAAAAGUGAUCAGGGACUGAGUUUGCGGUUGCUGUUGGUUUCGGGUUAAGAGAAAUGGUUUCGUUGACGCAUUUUAAGUUAUGGUUUCGACGAGUCGAGCUUUACCUUUUCAAGAACCGGAUGAAGAAGCGUUAAGAAGAGUUAUACUGCGUUUGGUU
Arachis ipaensis is the source of this 328-nucleotide non-coding RNA. The record is from RefSeq and is a predicted model, not a curated record. NCBI's taxonomy places the organism in Eukaryota, Viridiplantae, Streptophyta, Magnoliopsida, Fabales, Fabaceae.